UACAGAGGUCCCGAGCGUUGUUCGGAUUCACUGGGCGUAAAGGGUGCGUAGGUGGCUUUGCAAGUCUGAUGUGAAAUCUCCGGGCUUAACCCGGAAAUGGCAUUAGAAGCUGUGAGGCUUGAGGCUUGGAGGGGGAACUGGAAUUCUCGGUGUAGCAGUGAAAUGCGUAGAGAUCGAGAGGAACACCAGUGGCGAAGGCGAGUUCCUGGACAAGUCCUGACACUGAGGCACGAAAGCCGGGGGAGCAAGCAGG
Molecule: ribosomal RNA, 253 nt
Filed under: uncultured bacterium
Lineage: Bacteria
Description: partial 16S ribosomal RNA
Rfam family: Bacterial small subunit ribosomal RNA
Source: RNAcentral